CCCCUCCUGACUCCCUCCUCUCCCACCCAUCGCCGCCACCCACCACCUGCCACCAGUCUUCCUCCCGCCACAGCUCACCGCCGGCCGUCCCCUUCCCUCCACUCACCUCGCAGCUCGGGCCAGCCACCAGAUCUGCCGCACCCCCCAUCCACCCAUCCCUCUCGCAACCUGUCUCUCUCUCAUGAAAUCCCUCGCGCAGCCACAAUCCGCCGAUUACGGCGACGUCCGCCACCGCGCAGCACACUCAUGAGCUUGUCUGUGAUCCCCGCCCCCAGGUCCUCCAGGCUGCCUAGAUCUGCCGCUCCCAGUGUCCAGCGCUCGCCCGCGACCCCUAGCCGUGGCUAGGGUUUCGGCUACAGUGUCACGACCAUCGCCGGCGUGUCUCCGUCGGUUCCUCUCCGUCCCACACCGUGCCCUCUCCACCUCCUGGAUGGAGCCCCCUAGCUCGAUGUGCUCGCGCGCGUUGGGGCUGUAUGGUGGCGACCCUGACCUCCUCUGUCGCGAUCCCGACCUCCUUUGCACAAUAAUCCUGAACAGUUGCAGGUUCAAAUGGAUGAUUUUGAUGCCUACACUUAUCUUCUUUGUAGGCAUGUAUUUAGUCGAGAAAAUGCAUUGUGUUCAUACAAGUAUUCUUUGUUGUUUCAUGUGAUUGACAUAUUGAUUUAUUAGUGUAUAUCUUGAUUUGGGUAACUGACAGUUUGAAUCUAGAUUUUCUAGAGUCUGAAUAUGGUAUCUCACUUCUUGAAUUUUGUGCACAUCAAAAUGUAAAUGCUGCUCUCUCACUCCCGUUUUACUGUUUUGCACUGCCUUGUAAAUUACUCUUGGACCUGCAAUGGUGAUCGUUGUUCUAAGAUGUGAAUCUGAAUUGCAAUUGUGUCUAGGGUUCAAGCAGAACAUGUUUGUUACAUGUUCUGUAUGGCGUUUGGACACAAUUUAGAAAAUCAUUGAUCCCGUCGACUCUGUCUUUUACGUGUUAAGAGCUAACAUGUAUUUUCGUAGUCGUACUUCUGCCUUCAGAGAAUGUUGGACAGCCAAAUCAAUAUCCACUUGGUAUAUCCCACAUUCCAUAUUUCUGGACAAUGGAGUUGGAACUUGCCUCUCAUCAGUUAUUCUAUUCGGCAUACCAUGUGUAGUGCGUUCUCUAUGAUAUGUUUUAAUUUUGUAUCAUCGCUUUGCAAUAAGCUAAGACUUUGUUUUGUGAUAUACGAAUAUACAAUAUAUCAAAUGCUUACUGGUGGAACUGUUUGCAUCUUGCAUAAAUUUCGAAAUUAAUAGCUUAUAAGGAUAUUCUAGGCACAGGAAAAUAUGUACCAUGCUUGAAAAGGCAACUAUUAAAAUCACUACAUUUUGAAUAAUAACUUAGGUUUAUUAUUGGCUAAAGAGAUCUGUUUUUAUAGACACACCUAAAAAACUAGGAUCCAACUAAAGGAAAUAGAGAUUAAUAAUAAUAAAAGAUUGAUACUACUGGUAUCUAUCUCAAUUUUGGUAAAUGAUAGUGUGAAUCUAACAUCUAACGGACUUCUUAACUUUUUUUACAUCUAAGUCUUAAUAUUGUAGCUCACAGUCUGAAUAUUGUGCUUGCAGGUGCAUUCACAUCACCUGAUCUUGUGCAGGCUUUGGAAAAAUACUCGACUGUUUGUGCCGCUUUGAAAUCUAACAUCCAACAUUCUUAAGAAGGAAGCAAGCAUGAACAUAACGAAAUUAUGUCGCCUAGUGCUUGGUAUGAGGUCUUAUCUGAAGCCAAUUCUCUUGGUCUGAUGAUCUGAACCCCACCUUUUAUCAUUGUUGGGAGAUGGAUGAGCUUGAGGGCAUAGCCGAGCAGCUGUAGAAUUGGAUCUCCACGAUCGAAUAUAUUCUGUGGUGCUAGUUAGGUUGUAAUGGUUGAUGUAAACGUUCUUGCAAUGUUGCUUUAUUAAUGAUGUAUAUUCUGUAGAUACAGUUGAUGGUUGCAUAAACUGGCAUUAUGAUCUGUGUAAAACUAGCAUUAUGAGUAAAACUGGCAUUAUAAUACA
Triticum urartu is the source of this 2012-nucleotide non-coding RNA. Lineage: Eukaryota; Viridiplantae; Streptophyta; Magnoliopsida; Poales; Poaceae. The record is from RefSeq and is a predicted model, not a curated record.